UUAAGGCUGCUCCAAACUGAUGCUAUGGGAAAAGAGAGCAUGAUGGCUUCUUUUUUUUUUUUUUACUGUAUCUGAGCUUCUGACCAUGCCUCUCUGUCCUCUGUUCAUGGGGCUAAUCCUGGAUCCUCACAGAAGGGGACCCAGGGAGAGACAAGGGUAGGAGCAGGACAGUUACUGCCUUCAUUGGUGGCAAGGAACCUGGCACUGGUUUCCUCCAGCUGGAAGAGGUUUAAAGCUGGUAUUUCUCUUGGUGCCAAGAGAUGCAGAACUUGUUUUUUGCCAACCUCCUCUGAAAGUCCUAUGAAGGUGGUCUGGAAACUUAACUUUGAACAAACAGGACAAGUUGCAAAAUUGUAACAAUUUCAUCCUUGUGUCAGAAAGACCCUGCAUUUCAAAAUCACAAACAUUUCCAGUGUUCGGACCUUAAGGCAAAUAAGAAGCUACGAAUUCAAGUUUAUUGGGAAAAAAAGGAGAUGAGAGAAAGCGCUGUUUGUCCCAGGCAAACAAGACAGUCUUCGUUCUACAUCAAAGGCCAGAAAAAUAUCAGAUAUAAUUAAUAUUUCAUUCUGGAAGAUUUUUUCCAGUGUCCUUAAAAGUAGUAUUUCCUGCAUAGACUUCAAAGUGAAAUUCUGCAAAAUCCUUUUAGACCUCUGUGCUAAAAGAAUUACGUAGAAAAGAGUUGAUGCCAUAAAGGGACAAAGAAAUUCCAAAGUCCUGUGUUAAGCAAAGAAGAAGGGGCCAGGGCAUUUUUGGAUAAAUGAGACCAAGCUGUGAAUGCCUCAACUGUAAGUUCAAGAAGUAGAUGAUGAUUGAAGAAAUAAGGUUAACUGCUCACAACAACAUGGUGGGUAGGGAUUGCUGGGUAGGUGACCUUGACUAGCCACACAGAGGUCCCUGAACUGAGUGGCUCUGCUCUGCCUCAUCAGGGUAAGUGAUACAAGCAUCCAGGAAUUCCCUGGCCAGUAUCCCUUAAGAGAGGGGCACCUGGGUGGCUCCAUCAGUUGAGCAUCCGGCUUUGGCUCAAGUCAUGAUCUCAUCAUUCAGGGUUCAAGUCCCGCAUCAGGCUCUGUGCUGACG
This is a long non-coding RNA of Felis catus (domestic cat), 1077 nucleotides long. RefSeq lists it as uncharacterized. The record is from RefSeq and is a predicted model, not a curated record. The transcript is spliced from 3 exons. Lineage: Eukaryota; Metazoa; Chordata; Mammalia; Carnivora; Felidae.